This 433-nucleotide ribosomal RNA is filed under the name uncultured bacterium. RNAcentral describes it as "partial 16S ribosomal RNA". It matches the Rfam family "Bacterial small subunit ribosomal RNA", at positions 29 to 507 of the family's 1533-position model. The record is from RNAcentral.
AACGAACGCUGGCGGCAUGCCUAACACAUGCAAGUCGAACGAGACCUUCGGGUCUAGUGGCGCACGGGUGCGUAACGCGUGGGAACCUGCCCUUAGGUUCGGAAUAACUCCCCGAAAGGGGUGCUAAUACCGGAUAAUGUCUUCGGACCAAAGAUUUAUCGCCUUUGGAUGGGCCCGCGUUGGAUUAGCUAGUUGGUAGGGUAAAAGCCUACCAAGGCGACGAUCCAUAGCUGGUCUGAGAGGAUGAUCAGCCACACUGGGACUGAGACACGGCCCCGACUCCUACGGGAGGCAGCAGUGGGGAAUAUUGGACAAUGGGCGAAAGCCUGAUCCAGCAAUGCCGCGUGAGUGAUGAAGGCCUUAGGGUUGUAAAGCUCUUUUACCCGGGAUGAUAAUGACAGUACCGGGAGAAUAAGCUCCGGCUAACUCCGUG